This 19725-nucleotide long non-coding RNA is filed under the name Medicago truncatula (barrel medic). RNAcentral's name for it is "long non-coding RNA (MTRU_LNC000077)". The record is from RNAcentral. Lineage: Eukaryota; Viridiplantae; Streptophyta; Magnoliopsida; Fabales; Fabaceae.
GGACUCUCAAUGUUCUCAACUCAUGUGCUAAAUCCCCAUCACUCAAACGUGUUGUUUUAACUUCUUCUAUUGCUGCUGUUGCUUAUAAUGGGAAGCCUCGAACUCCUGAUGUUGUUGUUGAUGAGACUUGGUUUACAGAUGCUGAUUUCUGUGCUAAAUCAAAUGUAUAUGGGUAGAUGGAAUAUGACAUUUUAUUAUCAAUUAUCUUUUUUAUUUUUUGUUACAAUGUCAGCAAAGUGUGUGUCAUGAUUAAUCAUGUAAUGAAUUAUGCUAUCAUGUUCUUUGACUUCUUCCUAUUUCCUAUUCAUUGUUUCAGCUGUGGUAUGUGGUUUCAAAGACAUUGGCUGAAGAAGCUGCCUGGAAAUUUGUUAAAGAAAACAACAUCGAUAUGGUUACUAUUAACCCAGCAAUGGUCAUAGGGCCUCUCUUGCAACCAGUCCUAAACACAAGUGCUGCUGCAAUUCUAAACCUGAUUAAUGGUAAUUAAUUACAAUUCUAAAUGCAGCAAAUACUCUUAUUAUCUUUCUCUGUCGGCAUCUUGCAUAUUAUUUUUCUUGUCAGCUACCUUUCUGCAUCUAUUUUUUUUUUUUUUUUUUUUUUUUUGGGGGGACCGAGGUUUGAACCCCGGACUUUGCAUAUAUUAUGUAUUGUCCUACCAACUGAGAUAAGCUCAUGAGGGCACCUUUUCUGCAUCUAGCAAUAUGGAAAGAAAGAUAUAAAAAUAAUUUGAAAGCUACUAAAAGUAGGGUUAGAUAAGUACAAGAUAUGUGCAUUAUAAUCGUAAAAACUAUUGCUGAUCUGGAUGAUAUGAGUCUAUUUCCUUUUAUUUCUGGCUUUUUGUUGAUAGUUGUUUAAUUGUAAUCGUAGCAGUUAUUGUUGAGCUGGAUGAGAGUCUAUUUCCUGUUAUUUCUAGCUUCAUUGUUGUUUAAUCUUUUAUUUAUUUUCAUUUCAUAUAUGACAUUGAUUUUUCCCUCAAUUGCUUCAUCGUUGCUUAUUGUGUUCUCUUUUGUUGUUAUUUUAAUGAAUAUUAGCAGUUUUUAUGUACUUCAAAUAUGUUUGUGUUCAAGAGGACAAGAUUUUGUCCUUCUGUAGAUAAUAGAAGCUCUUUCACUUCCUUGAUACAGGUGCACAGACAUUUCCAAAUGCUAGUUUUGGAUGGGUCAAUGUGAAAGAUGUUGCAAAUGCCCAUAUUCUGGCGUACGAGAAUGCUUCAGCGAGUGGAAGACAUUGUUUAGUUGAGAGAGUAGCACACUACUCCGAAGUUGUGAGGAUUUUACGUGAACUGUACCCUUCGUUGCAACUCCCAGAGAAGUAAGAUUAAUAAUUUCGAUAACUGAAUGAUAGCAUAUAAUUUAUGUUCCUAUAUGAAUGUUAAUUCUCAUCUGAUGUGCCACAUUCAUUAAAGCUUUAUUUACUUGUUUGAAACUCAAUUCAAUGCUAAAAUGAAAGGAUUCAGUCAUCGCUAAAUGCCGAAAAAUUUCAACAAGUUAGAGGUCUUUGAAUGAUUUAGAAUAAAUGCCUUGCUUUACAUAACAAGAUUGUAAAGGUUUAUAUACAAGAGAGAAUAUCUCAAAAUAAGGGAAAGUAAAAAAUUAGGGAAAGUAUAUUAAUGGUAAUAAACAAAGAGAUGAAUUCUAAUUGUGACUGUAAUCACCUUCUAGUGGGAGCAUAUAUAUUCUAUGCAUCCAACUUGGUCUGUAUAAUCAAUCUGACAUCCCCAUAGAGGUUUGGUGAAUGCAACUUCAUAUCUAUUUGUCCCCUAGUUGAUAUGUUCUCUAUCAGACUAUCAUAUAGUUAAAGUAAGGGUACCAAGUGUUUGUGGAUGAAUUGAUUCAUUUGAGUUGUUUUCUAUGUGCUUGCUUGUGACCGAGCACAUUGAUGUGGAUGAAUUGGGAUGUUGCUUUAUGUUACCUGAUGACCUUCUCCUCAGACUUGAUCACCUUUCGAUUUAUAGCUCAUGUUAAUUAGCUUUACUUCAGUAUAACUUUUAUUAUUUCUGUACCUUUUAACACAUAUUCAGCCUCUGGACCCCAGUACGUAACACAUGGUUUCACUGAGGUUUUGCUAAUUUCUUUUUCAAUAAUAUAACACCUUCUAUCAUAUUGGGUAACUUGAAUGUCAUGAUGACUUGCACCUUCCUCUAUUUUUGUGUCUUCUGUAGAUUAAUUGUUAUGCAAAAUUGCUAAUUUGUACUGAAUUUUUCAUUUUGGGAUUCAUUGCUGAAUUAAGUGUUUUUAAAAUACGGCCAAGUAUAGCAACUUUAAAUAUGCAAAGUCCUAGAAAUUUUGUUUUAUACUCGAAAUUCAUAGGUUAAUGGUUACUAUAAGAUGAGCCCUACAUGAUUCAUCAUUCUGUCCGUUUCUGUAUUUACAUUUAUAUAAUAAUUUAAAUAUUUCUAGUUUAAUCUGUUUAGAUUUUUCUAAUAUCGUUUUCACUUUGUCAACUAUGUUACCAGGUGUGCGGACGAUAAGCCAUAUGUGCCUAUAUAUCAGGUUUCCAAAGAAAAGGCGAAAAGCUUGGGACUUGAAUAUACUCCUUUGGAAGUGAGCAUCAAGGAGACUGUUGAAAGUUUGAAAGAAAAGAAGUUCGCCAACCUUUAAUUUGUGGUAUCUCCUUGUUUAGUUGAUGACAUGGCUUUUGAUGCCUAUGCUUGUGAAAAAACUCAGUAUGUGAAAUAAGGUUUAAAUUAGAUCUAGAUUGGUACUAAGCACUGAAAUAAGUCAUUCUUCAUGGUUUGGUUUGUACUCGUGAUGGAACAGUGAAUGAGUUAAGGUAAUCUGUGUUUUGGUUAUUAUUUUAGGGUUCCCCUUUUCAGAAUUGCUAGAAAGAGCUCUCUAGCGAGCGCACAACGAGGAAACACCACGUGACCAAGGUUGAGUCAUAAUGUUCAAAACCCUUCUCCAAGAUAUGCUUCGCUUGUGAAAGGGAAAAAGAAAGUGGAACAGGCUUCCACUUUGUUUUAGUUCCUAAUAACUUGGAAAAACUCAAAAAAAAAAAAAAAAAAGGAUUUCUGGAAAACUAUCCUUAAUGUCCAGUACCUCGAGGUUGAAUAGAGAAACUCUAGUGACCUCUUGGAAGAUGGGCUGUUCUCUCAAAAACUAUUCAUACCCUCUCCAUCCUAAAUUAAUUAACUAACUAUUUGCAAAAAGAAAAAAUGUCUCAAAAUAACGAAUAUUUUCAAUUUUUAAUGCAACAUUAACUAUUUAUAGUUUAAAUUGUGGAAUUGAUGUCCCAAAAUAACUUAUCUUUUCAAACAAGGAAAAUUUAAAGCAAGGUUGAUUGCUAAAGACUACAAAAGAAAGUAUGGAGUUGAAUAUGAAGCUUAUCCAGGUCACAAAUUUCUCUAAGACGAAAUAUAUUUUACCAGGUUGUUGUGUUCUCGAGGCACCGUUAUAUAAACAUUCUUUUACUCCCAAAUUAUAAGUUGUUUUGGAGAAAAAAAUAUGUCAUAAAUUAUUAUAAGUCGUUUUAUGAUAGAUUCACGUAUGGAGAUUAUCAGAAUUCUAGGUUAUGCCAAGGAAAAGAAAACAAAACAAAAUAACAUAAAGAAGAAUAAUAAAACGGCAGAAUAUUUUCUAUCUCCUCAAGGGGAAACAAUGCCUCUAUAAAUAGGCAGGGUCUUUAGACCUAAUACAGAUAAUGGGCUUUGACCCAACAAGAAAUACAAGAGGAUAAGAUAAAAGGCCCAACACCACAUUGGCUUGAUAAUUGCUCUUUGGUGCCUCCUUAAAUUUAAUGUGCUAUCAUUUUACAAUACCAAUUAAGUGAUAUUUUUCUUACUACACCAUCAACUAUUUAUUACCUUUUUUUUCUUCCCUUUUGUAAAAUUUGUUUUUCCCAUACAAUAUUAACUACAAUUGUUAAUUUGUGUGAAAUGAUCACAAUGAAAAACGCGGGCCAAUCACUUACAACAUUGGUGAUUUUGUCAAAGUAAAGUGUUUUCCCACAUAGACAACUCUUGUUGAUGCUCCUUACAACAAGCUUUCUAAACAAUUUUAUGGUCUUUACAAGAUGGGUGCAUUUCACAUGGGAAAGUCUAAAAUCUUCCUACCAUAGGAAAGUUUAUCUUUGCCAUUAGAUUAAAUAUGAACAUAGUUUUUACUAUGGUAAGUCCACACUAUAUCAUCCACUACCAUUCUCUCUCCUACACUCACCACCACAACCGUAUUCCUUUCCUUCAUCUCUCCAUCUUGGUCUUCAUUUUCAAUUCAUAAAAGAACACAAAAAUCACAACUCAUGAAUUUGGGUAAAAUUGUUUAUCCAACAACUUCAUAUUCUCCCUUUCAUCAUUUCUCUCCCAUUCAUCUAAAACUCUGAUAUAGAAUUUGAGAUCUGGAACUAUUACCUUAAUUUUGGUAAUAAUAGAUCUAGUAUGCCUAACCAAUUUCAUUUUAUCAACAAAAACGUGCUAUUAAUCAAAAUAACAGAAUACUGGUGAGCUACAAUCAGAAGGAAUCUAUGAAACCCAUAUAAAUGGAGAAACUAUCAUGCUACAAAAACAAACCUAAACAGAGGAUUAGGUUCUUUAAUUAGAUUGAAGCUAGAAUAUUGUUUUUAAUUGUGAGUUCCAUAAACACCAUGGUUUUUCAAUUGCAACACAUGGAGAUUGUUUUUGAAUUGUUCUUUAAUUUUAAUUUUUUUGUUUCUUUUUAUUUUUCAAGAUUUUUUAAGAACAAAUGAUGAAGAUGGAAAUGUACUUGUUGUAGUUUCAUGGAGGUUGAAGAUAUUAAGUUGAAGAGAAUGAGGUUAAAGUAAUAGGUGGUGGUAGGUGAGUUGCAGGUUUACAAAAUUAUGUGAUGGGGAGAAAUAUAGGAAAGAAUAAAAUGAAGAACGGAGGAGAAAGAACACUGGUGUGGAAGUGUGUAAAAAAAUUUAGUGUGGAGAGAGUAUUGUAAAAGUGUGUUCUUGAUUUGAUCUAAAGGUCAAUAUAAACUUUCCCAUCGUGGGAAAGUUUUAGGCUCUCCCAUAUGAACAUCCACCUUACAAGAUUCUGGAGCAAUUUGGUCAUGUGGCAUUCAAACUGAAAUUUGACGAAGUUAGAUCAUUCACUUAACCCCACCUGACUGAGGAUACCAAAUGGGAGAAUUGUGACACUUGAGGACACAAAGAAGCAGGGGCGGAGCCAUGUUGGCUCUUGUGCAAGCAAGUGCCCCCACUAAUUUUGAAAUUUUCAUAUCCAUCCUAUAUAAUACUACAUCAUAGAUACACAUAGUAUUAUAAAUAUGAUGAUAGAGUAUGAUAACUAGAUUGCAUAUUAUAAAUAAUACAUGCACCUCUUCUCUAUGUUGUUUCUUUUUUUUAGCUUCAUUUUUCGGUAACAUUACUUCUAGGUGCUACUAAUUUACACCCACCUAAAUCACUAAGGUGUAAAUUAGCAAGCUACACCCACCUAAAAAUACUAAGGUGUAAGUUAGCAACCUACACCCACUUGAUUAUCUACACUCAUUUUUAUAAAUUUUAUCAAAUUAUUUACAACCAUCUUACUAAUUUACACUGAUCACUUUCAUCUCAUUCUAAAUAUUGUUUCCUUAAAAGUUUGUCUCUAUUACAUGUUUUAUACCUUAAGUAUGUCAUUGUUUUUUUGUUUCUUUUUUUAAGGAUCUUACUUAAGAUAGUUAAGAAAUUGUGUAAUUUACAUAUUAGUGUAUUUAGGUGGGUGUAAAUUAGCAGUCCCCAAUAUUAUAUACCUAUAUAUGAUUUAUUUAUUAUUUGAAAUAAUAAUAACAAUUAUAAUACUUCUUUCUUUCUAAAAGAAAAUGUUCUUGUCAAUAUAUUUUUGUAACACUUAUUUUAUUCCAUUUUUAUUUUAGAAAUUUAUAUGUAAAUAUUGCCCCUACUACUUUAAAUCUCUGGCUUCGCCCCGGCAAAGAAGGCUUGUUUCACAUUAAGAAAUGAUGUUCUUUUACGCUAUUGAGAAAUAGAAAAGUAGAAACGUGUUAUUGGAUGAGAUGCAGGAGUUGGUUGUCCAUGUCCAAAUGAUAUAAGGAAAAAGUAAUCAGGUGCAUUUGAAGAAAUGAAGAUAUGGACAUACAUACCUACCUUUGUUAGUUUUCUAAUCUCUCUCUUUUGUGUUCAACUCGCUAAACUAAAUUAAACUUUAACUGUAAUGAAGGGUUUAAGAGUUAGAGAAGAGGGUUAACCUGUUUUUUUGCAGUUUACUACAAUCGCUUCAUUUGUUUUCUGCCUUUCAAAUACAGCCCACAUCGGGUACCGCUUAAAUCAAAGUAAACCGCUCAGGCUAUAUUACACGAACUUCUUUUUUAUCAUUUCAUUGAGCUUUGUUGCAAUGCACACAUAACAUUUUCAAUAAAUAGGAGAAUGUUAACGGGUGCUAUAAAAAUAUCUAAAUUUUUUUUUUUUGAGUUUAAAAGUGGAAUAGUGGAUAGAAGACUCAAUUGAAAUUUUUAUCUCUUUAUUUUAAUUUUGGUUUGAAUGUAUUGUAGCAUUCCCUUUUUACUAAAUGACAUCCCAUCUUUGGUGCUAUGUCACAUGUUGUACUUGCAUAAAAGUACAAUAAGGAUUCUAGGGUUAAGAAUCGUAUAUUAGGGUUUUUAGACUGAUUAUUAGAUACUUGAGAGUGUUCUCAAGGAUGGUAUUUAUAGUCUUCCAUGGGCUUGGGUUUUGGUUGCUUAGUCUCCAAGUAAUAGGGGUAUUUAUGUAUUUAGGGCGGUUUCUAGAAGAUUCUAGAGAUCAUUAUGGCGGCGCUAUGGGUAGAGCGCGCCUUGGGCCUCAUGGCUCUUUUCAAGGGUGCUAAGGCCUUCUUGAGAGGUCUAAGAAGCCCUUUUGGAGGUCUUUAAGUCCUUAGGAAUAUUAUGACGGUCCACAGCCCCCAAGCACAAAUCUUGGUACAAGGCGUGGUGCUUUUAAAGCUGAAGAGUUCUUAAUAAUAGAUUCAGGCAAGUUCUGAGGAUCCAGGAAGGCGACGCCCUUAAGGAGAACGCGCCUAAACCCAACAAUCCUUUUUGGAGAACCUUUAAGUCCCUUCGUAAGGCGUUUAGGACCUUCCCGAGGGUCUCUAAGCUUUGAAGAAUAUAAUGACGGUCCACAGCCCCCAAGCACAAGUCUUGGUACAAGGCGUGGUGCUUUUAAAGCUGAAGAGUUCUUAUGAAUUUUUGCCUUUCGGCGAGACGUUUUCUAAUUAUGAGGGCGAGAAGUUUUCUAAUUAUGAUGCCUUUUUCAUCUAACGGUUCACAUAUCGCGACCUUUGUUGUUCUGAUGGCGUGUCAUUAUCUCGCUCGAUUCCUCACACGUGUCUACGAUCUGCUGUAUCUGCGCUUUUUCCGAGAAAUCAAAGUUUCUUUCCCUUUAAAAGAGACGGAAACCCCUUCCCUUCCCAUUUCAUUUCGUCGUUUCCGUUUCCUCGCGAAGAAAAAACUCUUUUUUCCGCCUUUGAUUGUUCGUUUGCAAAAACUCAGGUAAUUUGCUCGUUCCUUUCCUCUUUUAUAUUUUUUGUAUACCCAUGGUAGUAGUUAGGGAGUGUGAUGAGAGGGGGAGAGAACUACCUCCUUCAGAUCCUUUAGAUAGGCAAAAACUGAGAUUACAAUGUUUGAAGCAUGCCACUCGAAAAAAUGGUUUAAUCGAUUGGAAAGUGUAUGAUUCUACUUAUUUUAGUCAUAUGAAUUUCUCCGAUAUAUCUAGCGAGAGUGACUGUAGCGAAUCUGAUGAUAGUGAUUGUGUUUUAUUAUAUUCAACCUCAGGAGAUAAUUUUGGAAAAGAAAUCGUCGAUAUCUCCUCUUUGAAUAUGGUUCGUGGAAAGAGUGUCCAGCUUGCAUGUCAGGAAUCCGACACCGAAUGUUUUUCAGAUGACGUGCAACGGUAUGAGUCCGCGUAUAACGAUCAGGCGAAGGUAAACUUUUUUAGGAGUAAGCUCUCAGUUUCGUCCACUAAAAGAGAGGAAGAUAUUGUCUUGGCGCCUUGCCCUGCCGGCGAGAAAGUGUGCACUAUGCGCCCCAAGGGAGUAAAGGAGAUUUUUCAUAUGUAUGGCGCCGUAUUGGAGGAGUUCGGGGUAAAAAUCCCUUUUACCCUGUUCGAAAUGGACAUUCUACGCUUGCUUAAUGUUGCCCCUACUCAGAUUCAUCCUAACAGCUGGGCGUUCAUUCGUGGUUUCGAGAUUCUUUGCGACGCUUUAGAUAUGAUUCCCUUUGCCGGAGUCUUUUUCCACUUUUACGGAACGAAAGGAGUGGAUAAAGGUUCCUGGGUACCCAUUAGUGCACAUCCUGGGAAACAGCUCUUUCCUCCCUUUGCUUCUAAUUUUAAAAGGGAUUGGACAAAGAGAUUUUGAGAGUCCAAGGAUCAAAAGAUUCCUCAGUGAGUGUUGCUAGUGUUGCGGGCGAGGUUAGGUUUCCCUUAGGAUGGACCGCUAAUCCUUUGGCUGUCUCAGGCUAUAACUAUAAAAAAAAAAGACUCCUUAUGAACAAGGUGUAGUUGGCUUUUUAGAUCGGAUGCUUCACACGGACAUCCGAAAACUUUUAAACAAAGAAGGGGAUUCGGAGGACCUUGAAUUAUACCUUCGUGAGUUUUGACGAUUUACACUUCUUUCCCUUAUUUUAUGUUUUUACAUUUCUCUAACUGACAUGAUUUAUCUUUCCUGCUGUACAGUGCCAAUGCUGCCUUUAUCUGAGAAAGAAAGGAGGAAGUACCUCGAAGCCCUUAAAGAAAAACACGCAUCCAGAGAACACAUUGCAAGCGAUCCUACUGGCGUGAUCCUCCGCAAGGGGACGAAGAAACGAGAGCUUGUUGCUAAUGCUGAAUCUGCCGGAGGCGAUGUGGAAAGCGCCCAGGAGAAAGUCAUUGAAGGCGAGAUAACAGUAGGCGAGGUGAAUGAUCUGACUCACUCGCCCCCUCCGAAGAAAACCAAAAUAGGGAAGAAAGCAGGCGGGAAGACGCUGAUGGUAGAGGCGGAUGCUGCUUUUGAAGUCUCAUUCUGGCAUCGAGACUUCAAUUACCGCCAUUAUAUGGAAAAUCACGUUCCUUUUUCAGCAGUAGAUAAAGAUGCUGCUUUCCAUGGUAAAUUUGACGAAUUGGUGCAAGACGCGGGGACCAGCGCUCUUCGAACCCUGCUGUAUAUUCAAUCCAUGGAAAAGAAGCAUGAAGCUCUGGAAAAGGAGUAUCAAGAUUCCGUAAAGGAUGUGGAGAAGUUUAAACAUAAAGCUUCAGCUUUCGAAGAGAGGGUGGAAGGACUCUUGAAGGAUAAAGCCGCGCUUGAAAAGGCGGCCGCUGAUGCGGAAAAAGAAAAAACUGACUGGCAAGCGGAGAAGAGUAACCUUGAAACUCAAAAUGCCAAACUGAAAGGCGACCUGAACAAAUCUUAGGCUGAGGUUGAAGAUGGUAAGAUGGCUCUGGCCGGAUUUUUUGAAGACGGUUUCCAAAGAGCAAAAUCACAAGUUGCUCAUUUCUAUCCAGACCUGGAUUUGUCAGGUCUUGACUCACUGAAGUUUGUUCAGGAUGGCGAGCUAAUAGAAGAGCCUUGAAUGUUUUUGGCGGUGUUUAAAUUUUUUGGAUCGCCUAUUUGUUUUGGCGUUUUUUGUUUAUUUUUGGGCGCUUUGUAAUGCCUGUUUCCGUAGGCGAAAACUUAUCUAUUCUGAUGAAUUAACUUAUGCUUUUAAUUUAUAAUAGUUUCUUGGAAACAAUCCUUUCUUUAUAGAAUCCAUCAUCAGAGGAAUAUCAAUGAGUUAGUGAAUCUUAAAUUUCACGAGCAACUUGUUCAGAAUAUAAAUAUUGCUUAUAAUCAUCGGUUUUUCGCAUUUAAUCAAUGCUUAAUAAUUCCUUGUUAUUAAUAAUGAUGCUUGAAAACGUUCUUUUUAGUUUUCGUAACUGAUCAAUGCUAAUAAUUUCCCGAAGAGCCUUUAAUAAGGUUGAUGGCGCUCUCUCGGAUUUUUUUACCGGGUCACCUAGUGCAGAGUCUUUAAUAAGGUUGAUGGCGCUCUAAACAAAGAUCACACAUUUUUUAAGAAGUUGGGGUGCCUCGUUAAAAACCCUGCCCUUGCAGGGAAAAAGAGUGCUCCCCCAAUCCUUUCAUUCAUUUUAUUGAAGGAAAAAACAUAAAGUAGUCUACAUAUGCUAAAAGAAAAGAAAAAAUAAAACUUAGCGUUCAACUAUAAUAAUGACGCAAGUUGACUGCAUUCCAAGUUCUUGGUACCGUAGUUCCAUUCAAUUCUUCCAAUUUGUAAGCACCAUGCUGAAGUUUUUCCUUAACUCGGUAUGGUCCCUCCCAACUCGGCAACAGCUUCCCAAUUCUGGUUGGGGCGACACCUUGCUUCAAAACAAGGUCGCCUUCUUUCAUACUUCGAGGAAUGACUUUUGAAUUAUAUCGCCGGGCGGCCCUUUGUUUGGCAGCAAACUCUCAGAUGUGUGCAGAUUCUCGUAUUUCGUCAAUCAUAUCCAUUGUACACUGAAUUCCUACCUCGUUGGCUUCCUCAUUGAAAUUUUCUCGUCGCCAUGUUGGGGUAUCAAUCUCCACCGGAAGCAUUGCAUCAGCUCCGUAAACCAUAGUAAAUGGUGUUUCUCCGGUAGUAGAAUGUGGUGUUGUGUGAUAUGACCAUAAAACCUGUACUUAUGAAUUUUUCAAACAGAAAACCUUUAUCUUUGGUCCAUUCAUUAGUCGAGAAUAAGAAAUUGAAAACUUUUUUUUUUUUUUUGGUAAAGAUAUUUGUUUGAAACAAAAAACACCUAAGUUUUACCUCAUAAAGCUGCUCUGCCCAGAGUCCUUUGGCUGCCUCAAGCUUCUUUUUUAUACCAUUCAGAAUUACUUUGUUGGCGGCUUCUGGCUGUCCAUUUGCUUGAGGGUGAGUUACUGAUACGAACUUUGUUUCAAUUCCCAAUUGUUUGCAGAAGUCGACGACUCUUGAACUGGCGAACUGAGUCCCAUUAUCUGUUACGAUGUUCCGAGGAAGUCCGAAACGACAAAUGAUUUUCUUCCAGUAGAAUUUUAUUACUCGUUCUGCUGUUAUUUUAGAUACCGCUUCUGCUUCAACCCAUUUUGUGAAGUAAUCUACUCGACGAUGAGGAAUUUCAACUGUCAUGGGGCUGGGGGAAAAGGUCCCACAAUGUCAACCCCUGACUUGUGAAACGGCCAAGGAGAAAAUACAGAAGUCAAUUCAUUAGCCGGGGCGGUUUUCUUAUCAGAAAAUCGUUGGCAUUUGUCACAUUUUUUAACAAAUUCGCAACAAUCUUGGGUCAUCCUAGGCCAAUAAUAACCUGCUCGCAAAAGCUUAGCUACAAGAGAUCGCCCGCUGAUAUGACUUCCACAUACUCCUUCGUGUACCUCUAAAAGAACCAGCUUUGUCUCUUCUUCUCCCAGACAUCUCAAUAAAGGCGUGACUGUCCCUCGUUUGUAGAGUUUCCCCGCCACAAUGGUAAACUUAGCGGCUCUCUUUCUAACUAACUGCUUUUCUUCCUCGCUCACGGGAUCAAAAGAGCCCGUCAGAUAUUUCAAGAUUGGCGCCAUCCACCCUUCUGUCUCUUGAGUCGUGGAGAGAACUUCCUUUGCUUCACAAUUUGGCGCAGAUACCACUUCUUGAAUCACUGUUCGAUUAUUGCCUGGUCGCUUAGUGCUGGCUAGUUUUGCCAGCAAAUCUGCUCGCACAUUUUGUUCUCUAGGUACAUAGAUGACCUCGAAGAAGUUAAAAAACGCAGCUAAAUUCCGCACGCUUGAGAGAUAUUUAGAAAGCUGCGAAUCCUUAGUUUGAUAUUCUCCGGAGAUUUGAUUGGUCAUCAACUGAGAAUCACUCCGAUCUGAGGUUUUCUACACCCAUCUCUCGAGCUAGAGUCAUUCCAGCUAUUAAAGCCUCAUAUUCUGCUUGAUUGUUACUGGCCUUGAAUUCAAACCUUAACGAUUGUUCGAUGAGUAGAUCGCCAGGUCCUUCUAGGAUGAUACCCGCCCCGCUUCCCUUCAAGUUUGACGAUCCAUCCACUGAUAAUGUCCAAACGAAAGGGGUGGUAGUCUGGAUGGGGGAAGCAAAUUCAACCAUAAAAUCAGCUAGUACCUGAGAUUUGAUGCUGUUUCGGGGAGCGAAUAGGAUGUCAUACUCUGAAAGCUCAACUGCCCAGGAUACCAUUCUUCCCGCCAAAUCCGGCUUGCUGAGAAUCUGUUUUAUUGGGUAAUUGGUUCUGACGAUUACUCUGUGGCUUUGAAAAUAAAGGCGUAACUUCCUGGCGGUUGCUACCACUGCCAACGCUAGCUUUUCAAUCUUCUGGUACCGCAAUUCCGCUCCUUUGAAGACUCUGCUGACGAAAUAUACUGGUUUCUCCUUCUCUUCUGAGUUCUCGACGAGGACGGAGCUCAGAGCGUUCUCUGAAACUGAAAGGUAUAGAGACAAGACCGCCCCCCGUGUUGGGCGAUGAAGAAUAGGUGGCGUGGUGAGAAAAAUCUUGAUUUUCUGAAAAGCUUCGUCACAUUCCGGAGUCCAUUCAAAUUUUUCCUUUUUCUUUAUUGUGGCAAAGAAAGAGAAAGCUUUGUCCCCUGUGCAAGAAAGGAAUCUGGAUAGUGCUGUCAAUCUUCCCGUUAACUGUUGAACUUCUUUAACGUUGCAUGGACUUCUCAUGUUGAUGAUGGCUUGACAUUUAUCCGGGUUAGCUUCAAUACCCUCACUGGUUAACAAAAAACCCAGAAAUUUUCCGCAUGUACUCCAAACGUGCAUUUAGCGGGGUUAAGGCGCAUGUUUGCCUUUCGCACUUGCUGAAAAAUUUCUUUUAAGUCUUCUGAGUGUUGACCUUCGGCCGAUGUCUUUACCACGAGAUCGUCCACAUAUACCUCCAGGUUCCUUCCAAUCUGAGCGCUAAAAAUAGUAUCCAUGGAGCGUUGAAAAGUUGCUCCAGCAUUUCGCAAACCAAAUGACAUUACCUCAUAGUGAUAAUUUUUCUGAUUUGUCAUGAACACAAUUUUAGGGGCGUCCAAAAGAUCCAUUUUCAUUUGGUUGUAGUCGGAAUAGGCGUCCAUAAAACUCAGGGUUUUGUACCCGGCGGCGUUAUCUAUCAGGUGAUCAAUAUUUGGUAAGGGGUAGGGAUCUUUAGGACACGCCAUAUUCAAAUCUGUGUAAUCCACGCACAUUCUCCACUUUCCUGAAGACUUUUUCACUAGAACAGUAUUUGCGAGCCACGUAGGAUAUUUGAUCUCGCUGAUGAAACGUGCUUCCUUUAACUUUCUUACUUCCUCAUCUACUGCCUUUCGCUUUUCCUCGCCCAUCUUCCGCUUCUUCUGUACUACCGGUUUCACUGAAGGGUUAAUUGCCAGAUGAUGACAAGCUACUUUAAUAUCAAUUCCGGGCAUAUCAGAAGGAGACCACGCAAAAAGGUCGGCAUUUUCUUGUAAAAGUUGAAUCAAGUUUUUCUCUUCAGCUCUUUCGAGUGAGGUUCCGAUCUUAAUGGUCUGGUUAGGACCUGUCCCAAUCAUGAUAUCUUUCAAAUCUUCGACAGGUUCUAUCCGCUCCUGCUGGUAAUCUUCCCGUGGAUCAAGGUCAAUGAGAUUUACACCGAGUAUUUCACUGCUUUUCACGUUGAGUUUGAGGCUGGCGUGAUAAUAUUCUCGUGCAAUCUUCUAAUCGCCCCUUACUAUCCCAACUCGCCCAUUGUCCAGGGGAUAUUUCAUCAUCAAGUGUUUAGUGGAGACGAAGGCGUCUAAGAGAUUGAUGGAAGGACGCCCAAUGAUAGCGUUGUAUGAGCUAGGCGCGUUGAACACUAAAUAUCUGAUCUUGAUGGAUUUUUGUUGAUCUCUUGUGCCGAAAGUGGUUUUUAGAGUGACAUAACCACGAACGUGUACCCUAUCUCCUGUGAAACCUGACAGGGUUCCCUUGAAAGGUUGAAGCUGUUCUUCGCUUAAACCCAUCUUGCUGAAAGCGUCAUAAUAAAGAACAUUUGCAGAACUACCGGUAUCCACAAGCACCCUUUUGAUUUCCCAGUUAAGAAGUUGGAAAGAAACAACCAAAGGAUCAUCAUCAUGAGGGAUUACCUGUCUGAAAUCCUCCUGAGAAAAAGAAAUAGUUGAGAUUUUUUCUGAAGCAUCACUUGGCGAGCAUACUUCUUUCGUGACUUACCAGACUCCCCGCCUCCGACGAAACCACCUGAGAUGGUAUGAAGCGUAUGUUUGGGCUCUGCAGCGGGUUUAUCAAGGGUUGCCUCCGGCCGACGCCUAUCUUCGUUGUUUUUGGUAUAUCCUCUUAAUUUCCCGCUCUGAAUAAGCUUCUCAAUUUCCCUCUUCAAGUGAAUGCACUCAUCCGUGUCGUGGCCUAGUACCUGAUGAUACUUACACCAAGCAUCUUUGUUGAGACCCAUGUACUUGACGCGGGGUUCCGCAGCUGGCGGGAUUAUUCUUGACUCGAGAACCUCCCUGAGAAUUUUCUCAGGGCGGGUGUUCAGGGGGAUGAAGUGAUCAUGCGAAUAUCGAUGAGGACCCCUAUCGUGAGGCUUUUUGAAGGUCCCCCUAUCCCUGUUAGGUGGAAAAUAAGGAUUCCUCCGCUCUGCUCCUGAGUUUCCUUUUUCUUUGGCAUCCCUAGCUCUUUUCUCUGCAUUAGACUCCUCUCCUUUCACAUAGCAUUCGGCCCGAGCAAUUAUUUCUUCCAUUGAAUCAGCGGGUUUCUGCGCUAGCGACUCAUUAAAUUGCCCGGCGCGUAAACCAUUCUGAAAAGCUCCAACGAAAACUUCCUGAUUGGGAUUAGAAACCUUGAUUGUUGAAUCGUUGAAACGGGCAAGAUACUCUCUCAGCGAUUCGUUCUGGCCCUGUCGAACGUUGAACAAGCUAGUUGACAAUACUUUACGAUGGCGACUUCCAGAGAAUUGUUGGGUGAACUUCUUUAUCAUAUCCUGAUAACCAACAACAGAAAAGCGAGGAAGGCUCAUGUACCAGCGUAAAGCUGCAUCAGCAAAAGUGCCCGCCAACAAUUUGCACUUAAGGGAGUCAGCAACUCCGUACACGGACAUUCUGGUGUUGAAAACAGUUACAUGUUCAGAUGGAUCUCCUCUCCUGUCGAAAGUGGGCAAGUGUGGCGGUUUGAAGUUAUCCGGAACAAGAGCGUUCCAUAUUUCAGUUGAGAACGGCUGGGGUUCCGGUUCAUCCAUCUCGCCGUGAUGAGAGUCUGCCUUCUCUUGUUGCUGCUGUUGCUGAAUGGUUUCCACUGAAGCGAGCAGGGCUUCGUUCUGUUCCAGCAACUGGGCGAUCUGACUCUUCAUCGUUUCUCCUUCUUCUGGUGUUGCCAUAUCAGUCUUUCUCUAAAUCGUACGUGAGGUGCGAUUUAGGUUUGAGUAAGGGUUAGGGUUCCGAAUCGCAGAGAGGACUACGACUCAGUGUUUCUCUGUAUCGAGCUUUCGAUCCAAAGAAUCGUGGUCAAGGUUAGUUUUACCUCUUCCUACAGACGGCGCCAACUGUACUUGCAUAAAAGUACAAUAAGGAUUCUAGGGUUAAGAAUCGUAUAUUAGGGUUUUUAGACUGAUUAUUAGAUACUUGAGAGUGUUCUCAAGGAUGGUAUUUAUAGCCUUCCAUGGGCUUGGGUUUUGGUUGCUUAGUCUCCAAGUAAUAGGGGUAUUUAUGUAUUUAGGGCGGUUUCUAGAGAUCAUUAUGGCGGUGCUAUGGGUAGAGCGCGCCUUGGGCCUCAUGGCUCUUUUCAAGGGUGCUAAGGCUUUCUUGAGAGGUCUAAGAAGCCCUUUUGGAGGUCUUUAAGUCCUUAGGAAUAUUAUGACGGUCCACAUGUAUAAUAAUUAAUAUAUAUAUAUAUAUAUAUAUAUAUAUAUAUAUAUAUAUAUAUAUAUAUAUAUAUAUAUAUAUAUAUAUGGCAUUUCAAAUGAGAGGACUUUUAAAAUAAGAGGGUGGGAGGAGUAAAUAACAGUCCUUAGAUCAAAUUAAUGGAUCAGAUUAAAUUAAUUUUAAAGUGUGCUGCCAUAUCUCAAUCAUCUCUCUUUCCGCCGUAUGACCUUUGGUUUCUCAGAGUUGUCUUCUCUUCCAUUUUGAGUUUUGACAGAACCAUCACAGAUCCAACCCAACCCACAUCAUUUAAGCCGAUUUCUACCCUUUCUGGAGAUAUGUUGCUUUCAAGGGCUAUCAAUAUUCCUUCAAGGUUGUGUUGUGACCCAUUACAAACUAUACCUUUACAUUUGGGGCAAUUGUUUUAAUUAUCUGCAACACACUGAAAUUCACGAUCACAACAAAUAUAUGAUUCAAUAUGACCAAGCCACCCACAAUUAGUUAGAGUAGAAUCAAAGUACGUGAAGCAUAUAAAGAAUCAAUUUUUAAAAUUUUAUCUCCAUUUUAGCAUUUUAUACAUAUAAUUUUAUUUUUAAUUACGUUUUUCUCAUAUGUAUGAAUUUAUCCAGUGAUGAUAAUAAAAUGGGAGGGUGUUUGGAUGACAAGAUUGAGAGAGGCACAUGGUAAUUCAAGGCAUAAUCACUGAAUUGAUACAAACAAGAAGAAAAGAGGAACGAAGAAAAAGAGUGAGAGAAGAGAGAAACAAUGCGGAAUAAAGAAGAGAGAUGAUGAGAUAUGGCAACACAUUUUAAAAUUAAUUUAAUCUGAUUCAUUAAUUUGAUCUAAGAGCUGUUAUUUACUCCUCUCACCCUCUCAUUUGAAAUGCCCUAUAUAUAUAUAUAUAUAUAUAUAUAUUUUGACACAAGACUUUCUUCAAUUUAUAUGGCACGUUUCCUAAGGGUCCGUUUGUUUCAAUUGAUCAGAUGAGAGUGGAUGGAUUUUAGUGGAUGGGAGGGAAAUGAAGUAUUUUGAUUAAAAACAUGUUUGGUUCAUAAGGAGGAGAGAUUUUAAAAUUAUUUUACUUUUUUACCCUUAAAAUUUAAGGAUAAUUUUGUCAAUGUAAUAAUGAUAUUAAUUGCACAUCUUCCCUCUCCUCCAAAAAAAAUACUCCAAUUUGAGGGGAAACAAUAAAUGAGUCUAUGAGAAAUUUUGCUCCCCUCCUCUUCCUUCCUCUCCCCUUCUAAAAAUUGAACCAAACAUGUCAAAUUAAAAAUAUUCCUUCCACUCCCUUCCCCUCCCCACAAAAAAAAAAAAAACAUGAACCAAACAAAUCACAAGGCUCUGUUUGGGGGUUUGGAGGGGAAUAGAGGGUUUUAGAGGAUGAGAUUAAAGAAAAAAAAUAGAUAAAUCUUUCAAAAAUGGUGAGAGUGGUUUUGUAGAGAAUGAUAAAUAAAUACUUAUGAUUAAUGCAUUUUUAACUUUGAAAGUAUUAUAGCAACAUAGAUUGGAUUGAAAAACUUACCUAAAACCCUUCAAACUCCUCGUCCAAUACAAUUUUUCUUUUAGUUCCCAAAAUUAGAGAGAUGUGUUAUUGUUUGUUAGAUUGUAUGAGUUCAGUUAUAUUGGAUCCUUCUAAAGCAUCCACAAUGGUGAUAUUCAUUUUUUGAUACUUAAGAUGAUCUCGUGUGUAUACAUGACUCAUUAAUACUCCAUCCGGUCACUAUUGUAAACAAAAAUUCACUUUUUAGAUUCAUUGAAUAAAUGAUGUAUGUGAACCAUAUAUAGACCACAUACAUAAUGUAUUGAAUGAACCUAAAAAGUCAACUUUUGCUUAUAAAAGUGACCGGAGGAAAUAAUUUUUUAAUAAUAGUACUUCCUUCAAAAAAAAUAAAAUAAUAGUACUUAAUAAACAUUUAAUGUUUCCCACCUUUUAAAAAAAAUUAAAUAGAUCUCAUCAAUAAUUACAUAUUACUACAUUUCAACGUUCCCCAAAUUAUAGAAAUCUUUCCGCUUUAUAUGUAUCAUGUGUUAUUAUUAUUAUUUUUGACAAAAAUAAACAAUAUUCAUUCAUUCAAAUUGAUAGAGUACAUUGAUACAAUACAAAUCAAAGUCACUAAGAACAAAAAGGAUGAAUCUCCGAACAAACUCACAUCAUCCAUGUUAAUAGCAUAAAACGACAAAGUACCUAUGCCUACAAAUAUGACUAUAUAAUUGAAGUUUCCGGAAUACUCAUGUCUCCGAAUCUGCAACGUUGACGACACAAAAGUCAUUGAUCGGAUUUGCACUUGCUCAAAGCUAAUCUUUCAACCUGAAUCAAAUAAACACGACACUAAGACGGGAAAUAAAAAACACAUCGCACAAAGACGGAAAAUCAAAAUAAACAGAGUCGUGCAGAGACGACAAAAUCACAAAAACAAACGAAAGAAAACUAAAAAUAUGUGAAAAUCACUUAUUUAAUUAGGGUAGAAUGAAAAACAACCCGAUGGGGGUGAUUUUGGAUCGAAAUUGACCCUAAAUCACCCCUCUUCGGUAGACAAAAAGAAGAGAGAGCUUACGGCUAGGGUUUGAGAAGGAGAAAAAGAGAGAAAGAGAUAGUAGAUUUUCUAUUGCUUUAACGUUUUGCAAAUAUGUGUUAUUUUUUGUUGGAUUGUAUGAGUUCACUUCCUUCUAAAGCAUCCACAAUGAAGAUAUCCAUUUUUUGAUACCUAAGAUGAUCUUAUGUGUAUACAUGACUCAUUAAUAAUUUUUUAAUAAUAGUACUUAAUAAACAUUUAAUGAUUCCCACCUUUAAAAAAAAUAAUUUAAAUUGAUCUCAUCAAUAAUUAUAUAUUACUACAUUUCAACGAUAAUUUAUUAUUGAUUAAAUCAUAAUUAUCUAUUUUAUUAUUAAAUUAUAAAUCGCGAAAUUAUUUGUACGACUUUUUUAACAAUUCAAAAAAAUAAUUAAAAUUAAUAUUGCCAAGUUCUAAUAAUUACAAAUUAUUUGAAAUGAUAAAUUAACGUUUGUUUGAUUAGUUUCUAUUUUAUGUGCCUAUGCAUGUCAUAGCAAGUGGGUCCCACAUGAUAGGUGACAAGAGAUAUUUUAAGGAAAAAUAAUGGUGGGUCCCGCAGAAAAGAGUGUACUACUUUGUUGGAGACCUUCAUCUCAAAAAGCACUAUGAAAUUUUCCCCCCUAAUAACUGAUCAGACAUGAACAGCAACGUUGUGUGUGUAACUGGAGCUUCAGGUUACAUAGCUUCAUGGCUCGUUCGUUACCUUCUCCAUCGUGGUUACACUGUUAAAGCCACCGUUCGCGACCCAAGUAAUUCAUUCUCUUCUCUUUUGAUCUUUAUAACACAAACACUUGUGAUCAAAGAUAUUUCUAGUGUCAGACACAGACACGUAUAAUUACACUUAAUUAAUUAAGUCAUUGUUUAAAGUUAAUGUGUAUGUGUCUAUGUUCGUGCUUCAUACGUUUUGACCCUAUGUUUGAUUUGAUUAUUAUGGCUGCCUGUAGGUGAUCCGAAGAAGAUCAACCACUUGGUUAAGCUUGAAGGUGCUAAGGAGAGAUUACAACUGUUUAAGGCAAAUCUACUUGAACAGGGAGCUUUUGAUUCUGCUGUUCAAGGCUGUCAUGGUGUGUUUCACACUGCAUCUCCCUUCUAUCAUCAUGUCAAAGACCCUCAGGCUGAGUUGAUUGAUCCUGCACUCAACGGGACUCUCAAUGUUCUCAAAUCAUGUGCCAAAUCGCCAUUACUCAAACGUGUUGUCUUAACCUCUUCUGCUGCUGCUGUUGCGUACAAUGAAAAGCCUCGAACUCCUGAUGUUGUUGUUGAUGAAACUUGGUUUACUGAUGCUGAUUUCUGUGCCAAAUUAAACGUAUCUCCCUAAACUUACAAAAUCACACAAUUUAAUCAUAAAGUACAUAAAAAUUUGUCAAUUUAGUCCAUAACAUCUUCAUUAGCAAGGACUAAAUUGUUUUUGAAGUUGGUGUUUCAAUCUUAAAUGUAUCUUCUUCAGCCAAUGCGCUAGUCCAUAAAAUUCUAAUGGUUUUGUUCCAAUGUCGGCAAAGUGUG